This 253-nucleotide ribosomal RNA is filed under the name uncultured bacterium. RNAcentral describes it as "partial 16S ribosomal RNA". It matches the Rfam family "Bacterial small subunit ribosomal RNA", at positions 524 to 776 of the family's 1533-position model. The record is from RNAcentral.
UACAGAGGUCCCGAGCGUUGUUCGGAUUCACUGGGCGUAAAGGGUGCGUAGGUGGCGAGGUAAGUCGGAUGUGAAAGCUCGGAGCUCAACUCCGAAAUGGCAUUGGAAACUACCUUGCUCGAGGGUUGGAGGGGGGACUGGAAUACUUGGUGUAGCAGUGAAAUGCGUAGAUAUCAAGUGGAACACCAGUGGCGAAGGCGAGUCCCUGGACAACUCCUGACACUGAGGCACGAAAGCUAGGGGAGCAAGCAGG